CCUACGGGAGGCAGCAGUGAGGAAUAUUGGUCAAUGGGCGCGAGCCUGAACCAGCCAAGUAGCGUGAAGGAUGACUGCCCUACGGGUUGUAAACUUCUUUUAUAAAGAAAUACAGUGAGGCACGUGUGCCUUUUUGUAUGGAAUUUAUUAAUAAGGAUCGGCUAACUCCGUGCCAGCAGACGCGGUAAUACGGAGGAUCCGAGCGUUAUCCGGCUUUAUUUGGUUGAAAGGGAGCGUAUAUGGGUUGUUAAGUCAGUUGUGAAAGUUUGCGGCUCAACCGUAAAAGUGCAAUUGAUACUGGCAGUCUUGAGUACAGUUGAGGUAGGCGGAAUUCGUGGUGUAGCGGUGAAAUGCUUAGAUAUCACGAAGAACUCCGAUUGCGAAGGCAGCUUACUAAACUGCCACUGACAUUGAUGCUCGAAAGUGUGGGUAUCAAACAGGAUUAGAUACCCCUGUAGUC
Molecule: ribosomal RNA, 460 nt
Filed under: uncultured bacterium
Lineage: Bacteria
Description: partial 16S ribosomal RNA
Rfam family: Bacterial small subunit ribosomal RNA
Source: RNAcentral